This 657-nucleotide ribosomal RNA is filed under the name uncultured bacterium. RNAcentral describes it as "bacterial SSU rRNA". It matches the Rfam family "Bacterial small subunit ribosomal RNA", at positions 117 to 758 of the family's 1533-position model. The record is from RNAcentral.
GUAGGUAACCUGCCCCGGAGCGGGGGAUAACAUUUGGAAACAGAUGCUAAUACCGCAUAACAACAAAAGCCACAUGGCUUUUGUUUGAAAGAUGGCUUUGGCUAUCACUCUGGGAUGGACCUGCGGUGCAUUAGCUAGUUGGUAAGGUAACGGCUUACCAAGGCGAUAAUGCAUAGCCGAGUUGAGAGACUGAUCGGCCACAAUGGAACUGGGACACGGUCCAUACUCCUACGGGAGGCAGCAGUAGGGGAUCUUCCACAAUGGGCGCAAGCCUGAUGGAGCAACACCGCGUGAGUGAAGAAGGGUUUCGGCUCGUAAAGCUCUGUUGUUGGAGAAGAACGUGCGUGAGAGUAACUGUUCACGCAGUGACGGUAUCCAACCAGAAAGUCACGGCUAACUACGUGCCAGCAGCCGCGGUAAUACGUAGGUGGCAAGCGUUAUCCGGAUUUAUUGGGCGUAAAGCGAGCGCAGGCGGCUGCUUAGGUCUGAUGUGAAAGCCUUCGGCUUAACCGAAGAAGUGCAUCGGAAACCGGGCGACUUGAGUUGCAGAAGAGGACAGUGGAACUCCAUGUGUAGCGGUGGAAUGCGUAGAUAUAUGGAAGAACACCAGUGGCGAAGGCGGCUGUCUGGUCUGCAACUGACGGCCGAGGCUCGAAA